This 253-nucleotide ribosomal RNA is filed under the name uncultured bacterium. Its description in RNAcentral is "partial 16S ribosomal RNA". It matches the Rfam family "Bacterial small subunit ribosomal RNA", at positions 524 to 776 of the family's 1533-position model. The record is from RNAcentral.
UACGUAGGGUGCAAGCGUUGUCCGGAAUUAUUGGGCGUAAAGGGCUCGUAGGCGGUCUGUCACGUCGGGAGUGAAAACUCGGGGCUUAACUCCGAGCCUGCUUCCGAUACGGGCAGACUAGAGGUAUGCAGGGGAGAAUGGAAUUCCUGGUGUAGCGGUGAAAUGCGCAGAUAUCAGGAGGAACACCGGUGGCGAAGGCGGGUCUCUGGGCCGAUACUGACGCUGAGGAGCGAAAGCGUGGGGAGCGAACAGG